Molecule: long non-coding RNA, 1076 nt
Filed under: Chrysolophus pictus (golden pheasant)
Lineage: Eukaryota; Metazoa; Chordata; Aves; Galliformes; Phasianidae
Description: lncRNA (ENSCPIG00010012830.1)
Source: RNAcentral
CAUUUUGGGAGCUUUUGAUCAUUUUGGGUGUCAUUUUAGGUCAUUUUGGGGGCAUUUUGUGGGCAGUUUGGGGCAUUUGGGGACAUUUUUUAGAUAAUUUUGGAUAAUUUGGGGUAAUUUGGGGACAUUUUGGGGUCAUUUCAGGCUCAAUUUGGGUCAUUUUGGGGCCAUUUUGGGUCAUUUUGGGAUUUUUAGGUCAUUUUUGGGGUCAUUUUGGGUCAUUUUGGGGUCAUUUUUGGUAAUUUUGGGUCAUUUUGGGAUUUUUUAGGUCAUUUUUGGGGUCAUUUUGGAAAACAUUAGGGGUCAUUUUGGGUCAUUUUGUGGUAUUUUGGGUCAUUUUAAGUCAUUUUGGGGAUAUUUGGGUCAUUUUGGGUCAUUUUGAGGCCAUUUUGGGUCAUUUUGGGUCAUUUUGAGUCAUUUUGGGGUCAUUUUGGGUCAUUUUGGGACAUUUUUGGGAUAAUUUUGGGUCAUUUUGGGUAGAUCUUUGGGGACAAUUUGAGUCAUUUUUGGUUAUUUUGGGACAUUUUGGGUCAUUUUGGGUCAUUUUGGGAUCUUUUGAUCAUUUUGGGUCAUUUUGGGUCAUUUUGGGAUUUUUUAGGUCAUUUUUGGGGACAAUUUGGGUCAUUUUGGGUCAUUUUGGGAUCUUUGUAUCAUUUGGGGUCAUUUUGGGGUCAUUUUUGGUAAUUUUGGAUCAUUUUGGGUCAUUUUGGGAUCUUUCCAUCAUUUUUGGGAUCAUUUUGGGUCAUUCUGAUGACAUUUCGGUCACAUUUUGGGUCCUUUUCUCUCAUUUUGAGUCAUUUUAGGAUAUUUUCAUUCAUUUUCCCCCGUUGACAGAACCUUUUUUUUUUUCUGCUCUUUUUCCUCCGCCGUUUUGGGUCCAAUUCUGACGAUUUCGGUUCAAAACCAAAACUCACCUCCACCACCACCAAAACCCAACACCUUUUUUGGGGUAAAUUCAGACCUUUUUGGGUUUUUUUGCCCCCCAUGGGACGGCUGUGCCGCUGCCGAAAACGUCGCAAAGGGAUCCGGAAGAUUCGGGUCCCCCCCCAGGUGGGUUUGGAGCCUCGAUUUUGGGG